Molecule: ribosomal RNA, 401 nt
Filed under: uncultured Parabacteroides sp.
Lineage: Bacteria; Pseudomonadati; Bacteroidota; Bacteroidia; Bacteroidales; Tannerellaceae
Description: bacterial SSU rRNA
Rfam family: Bacterial small subunit ribosomal RNA
Source: RNAcentral
UGAGGAAUAUUGGUCAAUGGGCGGAAGCCUGAACCAGCCAAGUCGCGUGAAGGAUGAAGGUAUUAUGUAUUGUAAACUUCUUUAGCAGUGGAGAAAUAAGGGGGUCGAGACCCCCGAUGCUAGUACACUGAGAAUAAGGAUCGGCUAACUCCGUGCCAGCAGCCGCGGUAAUACGGGAGGAUCCGAGCGUUAUCCGGAUUCAUUGGGUUUAAAGGGUGCGUAGGCGGCUUUGCAAGUCAGCGGUGAAAGGCCCGGGCUCAACCCCGGGAAAGUGCCGUUGAUACUGUGAGGCUGGAAUGCGGAUGCUGUGGGAGGAAUGAGUGGUGUAGCGGUGAAAUGCAUAGAUAUCACUCAGAACACCGAUUGCGAAGGCAUCUCACAAAUCCGCAAUUGACGCUGAG